RNAcentral lists this transfer RNA (51 nucleotides) under Hypoxis angustifolia. RNAcentral's name for it is "partial tRNA-Phe". The record is from RNAcentral. Lineage: Eukaryota; Viridiplantae; Streptophyta; Magnoliopsida; Asparagales; Hypoxidaceae.
UCGGGAUAGCUCAGUUGGUAGAGCANAGGACUGAAAAUCCUCGUGUCACCA